This 484-nucleotide ribosomal RNA is filed under the name uncultured bacterium. Its description in RNAcentral is "partial 16S ribosomal RNA". It matches the Rfam family "Bacterial small subunit ribosomal RNA", at positions 30 to 507 of the family's 1533-position model. The record is from RNAcentral.
AUUGAACGCUGGCGGCAGGCCUAACACAUGCAAGUCGAGCGGAUGAAGGGAGCUUGCUCCUGGAUUCAGCGGCGGACGGGUGAGUAAUGCCUAGGAAUCUGCCUGGUAGUGGGGGAUAACGUCCGGAAACGGGCGCUAAUACCGCGUACGUCCUGAGGGAGAAAAUGGGGGAUCUUCGGACCUCACGCUAUCAGAUGAGCCUAGGUCGGAUUAGCUAGUUGGUGGGGUAAAGGCCUACCAAGGCGACGAUCCGUAACUGGUCUGAGAGGAUGAUCAGUCACACUGGAACUGAGACACGGUCCAGACUCCUACGGGAGGCAGCAGUGGGGAAUAUUGGACAAUGGGCGAAAGCCUGAUCCAGCCAUGCCGCGUGUGUGAAGAAGGUCUUCGGAUUGUAAAGCACUUUAAGUUGGGAGGAAGGGCAGUAAGUUAAUACCUUGCUGUUUUGACGUUACCAACAGAAUAAGCACCGGCUAACUUCGUG